UACGGAGGGUGCAAGCGUUAUCCGGAUUCACUGGGUUUAAAGGGUGCGUAGGUGGAUAAUUAAGUCAGUAGUGAAAUCUUCAGGCUUAACCUGGAAACUGCCAUUGAUACUAUUUAUCUUGAAUACUUUGGAGGUAAGCGGAAUAUGUCAUGUAGCGGUGAAAUGCUUAGAUAUGACCCGGAACACCUAUUGCGAAGGCAGCAGGCUAAACAAAGAUUGACGCUGAGGCUCGAAAGCGUGGGGAUCAAACAGG
RNAcentral lists this ribosomal RNA (253 nucleotides) under uncultured bacterium. Its description in RNAcentral is "partial 16S ribosomal RNA". It matches the Rfam family "Bacterial small subunit ribosomal RNA", at positions 524 to 776 of the family's 1533-position model. The record is from RNAcentral.